UACGGCGGGGGCUAGCGUUGUUCGGAAUUACUGGGCGUAAAGCGCACGUAGGCGGAUUGAAAAGGUGGGGGUGAAAUCCCGGGGCUCAACCUCGGAACUGCCUCCAAAAGUAUCAAUCUGGAGUUCGAGAGAGGUGAGUGGAAUUCCGGGUGUAGAGGUGAAAUUCGUAGAUAUUCGGAGGAACACCAGUGGCGAAGGCGGCUCACUGGCUCGAUACUGACGCUGAGGUGCGACAGCGUGUGGAGCAAACAGG
RNAcentral lists this ribosomal RNA (253 nucleotides) under uncultured bacterium. RNAcentral's name for it is "partial 16S ribosomal RNA". It matches the Rfam family "Bacterial small subunit ribosomal RNA", at positions 524 to 776 of the family's 1533-position model. The record is from RNAcentral.